GGUCUGCUCCCCGCGCCCACCGCCCCAGCUCGCACCCUGCUCUCCGCGUUCUCUGUCCCUGAGGGGAGCCCGCGGCAGCCCUGAGGGGAGGUGGCCGGGCCGGGGUCCCGCCGACUCUGCCGCCGGACGGAGGCCGCCGCGGGUGGUCGCUGCGGCCAUUUUGUGGGGGUUCGGGCCGGCGGGGGACGCAGUGCAUUGCGGUCAGCAGGCUUGCGCUCCCGCACUACCCUCCGGGGGCGAGGACUGCUGGUGUGGGAGCGCUCGUUCCGUUUUCCAGUGGAGACGAGGAGAGGACCCGAGCCGAGGACCGUGACGUCGGGCGCCCCGAGCGUCCUCACUUACUGGCGUCGCGAGGCACCGGCAGUGGCCAAGGGCCCUCGGGUCUGGCGACUUGCGGUCGGGGUCUCGGCAGCGGAGGCGUCCAGGCCUGCGCGGAAGUCCCCAGGAUGCGGAGCCGGCUGAGGAUGGCUCUUGAGGGUUUCCAUCUUCUCCCUCCCAAGGUGACCUGAGCACAGGGUGGCUGGAUGGAGGAUCUGAGUGAACAAGUUGGGCCCCAGGGCCUAAUGCUGCUUCCUGUCUAUCCUCACCACGUCAUCCUCCUUGUCACUCAGACCAGAUGCUUUCAGGUCCCUUCAGUUCACCAAACACAGGCCACUGAUAAUAAUUGGGUCACAUCAAUAACUCCACACCAGUCUCUGGAUCUAUGAAGAUAAAAUGAGGCAGAAGGACGUGGCCCUUGCCCUACAAUCAUCUCCUUAGACUUGCUGGCCAACACCAAGCGAUGAGAUGCUAUUUUUCCUCAGUCUCUCCUGACUUUUCACCUCUUGUCUCGUUUCAGCCCUGACCUGAAGCCUUGCUGAGCUUCCUUCUCUUCUGUCUCCCAUACUCUGCUCAAAAUCAGGUGGCUUUCCACACCCUUCUCCCUGUACCCUGCCUGUGCAGAGCCUUCCCCCCAGGACGGAGACACAUAACUGAUUUGAGCUUUUAUUUGUGUUUUGUUUGUGACCUCCAUGAUUAUAGAUUCUUGCUCCAGGAGGCUGGGACAGCUGUUCUCAACACUGUUUUUUGGGCAUAGUCACUGACGGUGGUUACACAAGCUACCCACAUCCACAAAGCCAUCUGGGUCUUGCUGAAAUCUAAAAACAUGGUGAAGGGAAAAAUAGCCAAUGUCAUGUAAAUAAUGGUCACUCACUUAAAAAUUUCAAACCAUUUUAUAAAAAAAAAUAAUAAGGAUGGUGUAUUAGUCGGGGUUCUCCAGAGAUACAGAAACAAUGGGAUAUGU
Long non-coding RNA from Cynocephalus volans (Philippine flying lemur), 1282 nucleotides. RefSeq lists it as uncharacterized. The transcript is spliced from 3 exons. Lineage: Eukaryota; Metazoa; Chordata; Mammalia; Dermoptera; Cynocephalidae. The record is from RefSeq and is a predicted model, not a curated record.